RNAcentral lists this ribosomal RNA (186 nucleotides) under uncultured Lactobacillus sp. Its description in RNAcentral is "partial 16S ribosomal RNA". It matches the Rfam family "Bacterial small subunit ribosomal RNA", at positions 355 to 533 of the family's 1533-position model. The record is from RNAcentral. Lineage: Bacteria; Bacillati; Bacillota; Bacilli; Lactobacillales; Lactobacillaceae.
UAGGGAAUCUUCCACAAUGGACGAAAGUCUGAUGGAGCAACGCCGCGUGAGUGAAGAAGGGUUUCGGCUCGUAAAACUCUGUUGUUAAAGAAGAACAUAUCUGAGAGUAACUGUUCAGGUAUUGACGGUAUUUAACCAGAAAGCCACGGCUAACUACGUGCCAGCAGCCGCGGUAAUACGUAGGUG